Molecule: ribosomal RNA, 253 nt
Filed under: uncultured bacterium
Lineage: Bacteria
Description: partial 16S ribosomal RNA
Rfam family: Bacterial small subunit ribosomal RNA
Source: RNAcentral
UACGUAGGGGGCAAGCGUUGUCCGGAUUUAUUGGGCGUAAAGAGCGUGUAGGCGGCCGUACAGGUCAGCUGUGAAAACUCGAGGCUCAACCUCGAGACGUCGGUUGAAACCGUACGGCUAGAGUCCGGAAGAGGAGAGUGGAAUUCCCGGUGUAGCGGUGAAAUGCGCAGGUAUCGGGAAGAACACCCGUGGCGAAGGCGGCUCUCUGGGACGGUACUGACGCUGAGACGCGAAAGCGUGGGGAGCGAACAGG